UACGGGGGGGGCAAGCGUUGUUCGGAAUUACUGGGCUUAAAGGGUGCGUAGGCUGUGCGGAAAGUUGGGCGUGAAAUACCUCAGCUUAACUGAGGAACUGCGUUCAAAACUACCGUGCUUGAGGGAGACAGAGGUAAGCGGAACUGAGGGUGGAGCGGUGAAAUGCGUUGAGAUCGGAAGGAACGCCCGUGGCGAAAGCGAGCCCCUGGACGUCUACUGACGCUGAGACGCGAAAGCCAGGGGAGCGAACGGG
Molecule: ribosomal RNA, 253 nt
Filed under: uncultured prokaryote
Description: partial 16S ribosomal RNA
Rfam family: Bacterial small subunit ribosomal RNA
Source: RNAcentral